CCUGCCGCAUGGUGGGUGGUGGAAAGUUUUUUCGGCUGGGGAUGGGCCCGCGGCCUAUCAGCUUGUUGGUGGGGUGAUGGCCUACCAAGGCUUCGACGGGUAGCCGGCCUGAGAGGGCGACCGGCCACACUGGGACUGAGACACGGCCCAGACUCCUACGGGAGGCAGCAGUGGGGAAUAUUGCGCAAUGGGCGGAAGCCUGACGCAGCGACGCCGCGUGAGGGAUGACGGCCUUCGGGUUGUAAACCUCUUUCAGCAGGGACGAAUUUGACGGUACCUGUAGAAGAAGCACCGGCCAACUACGUGCCAGCAGCCGCGGUAAUACGUAGGGUGCGAGCGUUGUCCGGAAUUAUUGGGCGUAAAGAGCUCGUAGGCGGUCUGUCGCGUCGAAUGUGAAAACCCGGGGCUCAACUCCGGGCUUGCAUUCGAUACGGGCAGGCUAGAGUUCGGUAGGGGAGUCUGGAAUUCCUGGUGUAGC
Molecule: ribosomal RNA, 478 nt
Filed under: uncultured bacterium
Lineage: Bacteria
Description: bacterial SSU rRNA
Rfam family: Bacterial small subunit ribosomal RNA
Source: RNAcentral